Molecule: ribosomal RNA, 456 nt
Filed under: uncultured bacterium
Lineage: Bacteria
Description: bacterial SSU rRNA
Rfam family: Bacterial small subunit ribosomal RNA
Source: RNAcentral
UACGGGAGGCAGCAGUGGGGAAUAUUGCACAAUGGGCGAAAGCCUGAUGCAGCUAUGCCGCGUGUAUGAAGAAGGCCUUAGGGUUGUAAAGUACUUUCAUCGGGGAGGAAAAAACAAAACUAAUAAUUUUAUUUCUUGACGUUACCCGAAAAAGAAGCACCGGCUAACUCCGUGCCAGCAGCCGCGGUAAUACGGAGGGUGCUAGCGUUAAUCAGAAUUACUGGGCGUAAAGAGCACGUAGGUGGUUUUUUAAGUCAGAUGUGAAAUCCCUGGGCUUAACCUAGGAACUGCAUUUUGAAACUGAAAUACUAGAGUAUCGUAGAGGGAGGUAGAAUUCUAGGUGUAGCGGUGAAAUGCGUAGAUAUCUGGAGGAAUACCUGUGGCGAAAGCGGCCUCUAAACGAAUACUGACACUGAGGUGCGAAAGCGUUGGGGAGCAAACGAGGGAUUAGAUACC